This is a small nuclear RNA of Pteronotus mesoamericanus, 103 nucleotides long. NCBI's taxonomy places the organism in Eukaryota, Metazoa, Chordata, Mammalia, Chiroptera, Mormoopidae. The record is from RefSeq and is a predicted model, not a curated record.
AUGCUUUGGCAGCACAUAUGUUAAAAUUGGAACAAUAGAGAGAAGGUUAGCAUGGCCCUUUCACAAGGAAAGCAAAAUAAAAUAAAAUAAAAUAGAGUUUAUU